This 494-nucleotide ribosomal RNA is filed under the name uncultured bacterium. RNAcentral's name for it is "partial 16S ribosomal RNA". It matches the Rfam family "Bacterial small subunit ribosomal RNA", at positions 28 to 507 of the family's 1533-position model. The record is from RNAcentral.
GACGAACGCUGGCGGCGUGCUUAACACAUGCAAGUCGAACGGAAAGGCCUGCUUUCCCUUGUGGAUUGCGGGUACUCGAGUGGCGAACGGGUGAGUAACACGUGAGUGAUCUGCCCCCAACUUGGGUAUAAGCCUGGGAAACUGGGUCUAAUUCCCGAUAGGACUGCAGGGUGGUGCCUGUGGUGGAAAACGAUUUUCUAGUGGGUGGGGAUGAGCUCGCGGCCUAUCAGCUUGUUGGUGGGGUAAUGGCCUACCAAGGCGGCGACGGGUAGCCGGCCUGAGAGGGUGGACGGCCACAUUGGGACUGAGAUACGGCCCAGACUCCUACGGGAGGCAGCAGUGGGGAAUAUUGCACAAGGGGCGGAAGCCUGAUGCAGCGACGCCGCGUGGGGGAUGACGGCCUUCGGGUUGUAAACUCCUUUCGACCGCGAGGAAGCCACCUGGUUGGAAGGGUGGUGACGGUAGUGGUAGAAGAAGCACCGGCUAACUACGUG